RNAcentral lists this ribosomal RNA (502 nucleotides) under uncultured bacterium. RNAcentral describes it as "bacterial SSU rRNA". It matches the Rfam family "Bacterial small subunit ribosomal RNA", at positions 8 to 507 of the family's 1533-position model. The record is from RNAcentral.
AGAGUUUGAUCAUGGCUCAGAUUGAACGCUGGCGGCAUGCCUUACACAUGCAAGUCGAACGGUAACGCGGGGCAACCUGGCGACGAGUGGCGAACGGGUGAGUAAUAUAUCGGAACGUGCCCAAUAGUGGGGGAUAGCCCGGCGAAAGCCGGAUUAAUACCGCAUACGACCUGAGGGUGAAAGCGGGGGAUCGCAAGACCUCGCGCUAUUGGAGCGGCCGAUAUCAGAUUAGGUAGUUGGUGGGGUAAAAGCCUACCAAGCCUACGAUCUGUAGCUGGUCUGAGAGGACGACCAGCCACACUGGGACUGAGACACGGCCCAGACUCCUACGGGAGGCAGCAGUGGGGAAUUUUGGACAAUGGGCGCAAGCCUGAUCCAGCAAUGCCGCGUGCAGGAUGAAGGCCUUCGGGUUGUAAACUGCUUUUGUACGGAACGAAACGGUCUCUCCUAAUACGGGGGGCUAAUGACGGUACCGUAAGAAUAAGCACCGGCUAACUACGUG